UCUUUGUAAUAUAUAAAAUAUACUGGUCUUGUAAACCAGAAAAGGAGAAUAAUUAACCUCCCCAAGACU
RNAcentral lists this transfer RNA (69 nucleotides) under Pseudoryx nghetinhensis (saola). Its description in RNAcentral is "tRNA-Thr". Lineage: Eukaryota; Metazoa; Chordata; Mammalia; Artiodactyla; Bovidae. The record is from RNAcentral.